RNAcentral lists this ribosomal RNA (468 nucleotides) under uncultured bacterium. RNAcentral describes it as "partial 16S ribosomal RNA". It matches the Rfam family "Bacterial small subunit ribosomal RNA", at positions 28 to 507 of the family's 1533-position model. The record is from RNAcentral.
GACGAACGCUGGCGGCGUGCUUAAUACAUGCAAGUCGAGCGGACAGGCGCUGAUCUUGUGGGGUGCUCGUGUGGCGAGCGGGUGUGUAAAACGUGAGUAACCUGCCCUUGUCUUUGGGAUAACUCCAGGAAACUGGGGCUCAUACCGGAUAGGAGCUCCUGCUGCAUGUGGGGGGAUGGAAAGUGUCGGCGGUGGGGGCUGGAAUCGCGGCUUAUCAGCUUGUUGGUGGGGUAGUGGCUUACCAGGGCUUUGACGGGUAGCCGGCCUGAGAGGGUGACCGGCGACAUUGGGACUGAGAGACGGCCCAGACUCCUACGGGAGGCAGAAGUGGGGAAUAUUGCACAAUGGGCGGAAGCCUGAUGCAGCAACGUCGCGUGCGUGAUGACGGCCUUCGGGUUGUAAACCGCUUUCGCCGGUGACGAAGCGUGAGUGACGGUAAUGGGUAAAGAAGCACCGGCUAACUACGUG